GAUUUGCAUUUCUUGGUUUCUAGUUUGUUAGAUUAGGAAUUGUCUUCUUUGUCCUUUUAAUUUAACCCUUUCAAUUUUCAAUUUGUAAAUUCUUUCAACUUCUCUGUCGUUUUUCUUGAGAUCUUUUCUUCGACAUCUGUUAACAAUAAGGAUAGGAUUUUAUCAGCUCCGUCUAUUCACAACUCAAUUUUAUAUAUUUUGUAAAUUAUUUCAGGUAAAGCACAAUAAUUUAUUUU
RNAcentral lists this unclassified non-coding RNA (236 nucleotides) under Hevea brasiliensis (rubber tree). Lineage: Eukaryota; Viridiplantae; Streptophyta; Magnoliopsida; Malpighiales; Euphorbiaceae. The record is from RNAcentral.